This 728-nucleotide ribosomal RNA is filed under the name Pseudoberwaldia daphniae. RNAcentral's name for it is "SSU rRNA". It matches the Rfam family "Microsporidia small subunit ribosomal RNA", at positions 114 to 847 of the family's 1311-position model. Lineage: Eukaryota; Fungi; Microsporidia. The record is from RNAcentral.
CUGUACAGGAUAACCGCGGUAAUCUGUGGCUAAUACUAGAGUGGGUGAGACUCUGGCCUAUCAGCUUGGCGGUACGGUAAGUGCGUACCGUGGCGACGACGGGUAACGGGGAAUCGGGGUUUGAUUCCGGAGAGGGAGCCUGAGAGAUGGCUGCCACGUCCAAGGACGGCAGCAGGCGCGGAAAUUACCCACUUGGAGGACCAGAGGUAGUGACGAGGCGUUAUUAAUGAGAGCAGUGUAAAAAGCUGUUUGAAAGCAACUGGAGGGCAAGUCUGGUGCCAGCAGCCGCGGUAAUUCCAGCUCCAGGAGCGUCUGUGUGUGUUGCUGCGGUUAAAGAGUGCGUAGUCUGAUUAUUUGCCAGCAAUAAAGGUGCGGUCUUUAGCUGUGCAUUAUGCUGGUACUUUGAUCUAGGGACUGGAACAGGGCAAUGGUAUUCGACAGCGAGGGGUGAAAACUGAUGACCUGUCGAGGAGCGACUGAGGCGAAAGCGGUUGUCUGGGACGGGUUCGACGAUCAAGCGCGUGAGCAGGAGGAUCGAAGGCGAUUAGAGACCGUCGUAGUUCCUGCAGUAAACGAUGCCAACGGGAAUGCAAGGAAUGUGUUCCGAGGGAAACCGAGUGUAUGGGCUCCGGGGAUAGUACAGGCGCAAGCCAGAAACUUGAAGAAAUUGACGGAAGGACACCACAAGGAGUGGAGUGUGCGGGUUAAUUUGACUCAACGCGGGACAA